RNAcentral lists this ribosomal RNA (344 nucleotides) under Nematoda environmental sample. RNAcentral describes it as "SSU rRNA". It matches the Rfam family "Eukaryotic small subunit ribosomal RNA", at positions 1300 to 1665 of the family's 1831-position model. The record is from RNAcentral. Lineage: Eukaryota; Metazoa; Nematoda.
GGUGGAGCGAUUUGUCUGGUUAAUUCCGAUAACGAACGAGACUCUAGCCUAUUAAAUAGGAGCCGUAUCUCAUUUAAAGUACGGCGCCCUUCUUAGAGGGACAAGCAGCAAUUAGCUGCGCGAGAUUGAGCAAUAACAGGUCUGUGAUGCCCUUAGAUGUCCGGGGCUGCACGCGCGCUACAAUGAAGGUAGCAGAAUGUAUCGAACCCAUGUCUGAAAAGACUUGGUAAUCACGAAUUAUUUUCGUGCUUGGGAUAGGGGAUUGCAAUUAUUUCCCUUGAACGAGGAAUAUCUAGUAAAUGCGAGUCAUAAGCUCGCGUUGAAUACGUCCCUGCCCUUUGUAC